Molecule: ribosomal RNA, 261 nt
Filed under: uncultured bacterium
Lineage: Bacteria
Description: partial 16S ribosomal RNA
Rfam family: Bacterial small subunit ribosomal RNA
Source: RNAcentral
GUCCACGCCCUAACGAUGAUCACUGGGUGUUCGGGAGCGAUCUCUGAGUACCGAAGCUAACGCGUGAAGUGAUCCGCCUGGGGAGUACGGUCGCAAGAUUAAACUACAAGGAAUUGACGGGGACCCGCACAAGCGGUGGAUGAUGUGGAUUAAUUCGAUGCAACGCGAACAACCUUACCUACCCUUGACAUGUCCGGAAGGCCGCCGAGAGGUGGUUGUGCCCGAAAGGGAACCGGAACACAGGUGCUGCAUGGCUGUCGU